Non-coding RNA from Flavobacterium sp. ov086, 78 nucleotides. The record is from Rfam. NCBI's taxonomy places the organism in Bacteria, Pseudomonadati, Bacteroidota, Flavobacteriia, Flavobacteriales, Flavobacteriaceae.
CUCUAGCCCUGAUGGGAACGGCAUCCUUUUUCUGGCUCCUUUAGCCAGGAAAAGAUAUAGUGGACAGCAGGAAAUAGC